AAAAAGAUAAAUCAUGUGUUUCCGCAUCCAACGUUUGACUGUCCGUCUUAUAUGAAAUUUUUUUAUAAUUAGUAUUUUCAUUGUUGUUAGAUGAUAAAACAUGAUUAAUACUUUAUGUGUGACUUGUCUUUUUAAUUUUUUUUUUUAAAUAAGACGGACGGUUAAAUGUUGGACACGUAAACCUAGUAUUUAUU
Oryza barthii is the source of this 194-nucleotide non-coding RNA. The record is from Rfam. Lineage: Eukaryota; Viridiplantae; Streptophyta; Magnoliopsida; Poales; Poaceae.